This 425-nucleotide ribosomal RNA is filed under the name uncultured bacterium. RNAcentral's name for it is "partial 16S ribosomal RNA". It matches the Rfam family "Bacterial small subunit ribosomal RNA", at positions 30 to 501 of the family's 1533-position model. The record is from RNAcentral.
CGAACGCUGGCGGCAUGCCUACCACAUGCAAGUCGAACGAGACCUUCGGGUCUAGUGGCGCACGGGUGCGUAACGCGUGGGAACCUGCCCUUAGGUUCGGAAUAACUCCCCGAAAGGGGUGCUAAUACCGGAUAAUGUCUUCGGACCAAAGAUUUAUCGCCUUUGGAUGGGCCCGCGUUGGAUUAGCUAGUUGGUAGGGUAAAAGCCUACCAAGGCGACGAUCCAUAGCUGGUCUGAGAGGAUGAUCAGCCACACUGGGACUGAGACACGGCCCAGACUCCUACGGGAGGCAGCAGUGGGGAAUAUUGGACAAUGGGCGAAAGCCUGAUCCAGCAAUGCCGCGUGAGUGAUGAAGGCCUUAGGGUUGUAAAGCUCUUUUACCCGGGAUGAUAAUGACAGUACCGGGAGAAUAAGCUCCGGCUAAC